UGGAGUGAUUUGUCUGGUUAAUUCCGUUAACGAACGAGACCUUAACCUACUAAAUAGUUACAUAAUUUCCGAAUUAUGGACAACUUCUUAGAGGGACUGUUGGUGCUAAGCCAACGGAAGUUUGAGGCAAUAACAGGUCUGUGAUGCCCUUAGACGUUCUGGGCCGCACGCGCGCUACACUGACGAAGUCAACGAGCUUUCCUGGACCGAAAGGUUUGGGUAAUCUUUUGAAAUUUCGUCGUGCUGGGGAUAGAUCCUUGCAAUUUUUGAUCUUCAACGAGGAAUUCCUAGUAAGCGCAAGUCAUCAACUUGCGUUGAUUACGUCCCUGCCCUUUGUACACACCGCCCGUCGCUACUACCGAUUGAAUGGUCUAGUGAGGCCUCCGGAUUGCACUCUGUGCGAAAUGUUGGACAAACUAUAUCAUUUAGAGGAAGUAAAAGUCGUAACAAGGUUUCCGUAG
This 461-nucleotide ribosomal RNA is filed under the name uncultured eukaryote. RNAcentral describes it as "bacterial SSU rRNA". It matches the Rfam family "Eukaryotic small subunit ribosomal RNA", at positions 1302 to 1808 of the family's 1831-position model. The record is from RNAcentral.